GGUGGCCGUCCUCCUCCUUGGCGUUGUAGCUUGACGCCAUCAUGGUCGCAAUCCACUCCGAGCACGGUAAUCCACUUCGGUUCGACAGGCGACGGUCCCUCGGCAAUGUCACACGGUGGACCACUGACACAACGUCCAGUCUCAGCCCGUGACUCCAGCUUCACUCCACCAGACAUCCCCAGGGAUCCCAGCACAGCCUUUCCUGUCUUCAGGCUCUUGGACAUUGGGAUGCGGGUCAGCCCUGUGCGAGGUGGCUGGGCAUCGUGCCCGGUCUGAAUAGGGAGAGAGAGACAGAGUACAGUUUCUCAGGCAGGGGAAUGAAGACAGGGAGCACUUGAGGGGAACAUAAAGAAUAAAUAAAGGAAAAACCCCAUAACAAGAAAAGAGAGGUUGGUGAAGUCGUCGCUCUUGUUCAUGUAGUCGACGUGCUUGCGUUUCUCCGUGACCAGCUCCUGAACGGUGCGACGGUGGCACUUUUCGGCGAGCAGCAACUGGCCCAGCAUCCGCCCGUACGUGUCCCUGUGCUUCUCCUGCAGACGAUCCAGCUGACGCACACAGACACAGGAAAAUGUCUGAGGUGUAAUAUGCAAAACACUUUUGUGAAAGAUAUUUCACAUUAACCUCUUCCCCUUUGAAAAUAUCUGCACAGCUAACUGCAAUGUAACUGACAAAGAAAGCCUUUUCUUUUAAUUCCAACAUAUUUUUGGCUUAACUUUUGACUUUUACAAUUACCAACACUUUCUCAUAUAUUUUCAGAGCUCAGAUCUCUUCAUUAAUGUUUCUCUCAUCACUUCACUGUAACUGUCUUUUGUGGUUUUACCUGCCUUCGCGACCCAGUAAUAAAAAAUGUAAACAUU
Molecule: long non-coding RNA, 857 nt
Organism: Scophthalmus maximus (turbot)
Lineage: Eukaryota; Metazoa; Chordata; Actinopteri; Pleuronectiformes; Scophthalmidae
Exons: 3
Source: RefSeq, a predicted model, not a curated record